AUUUGAUCUCUGUUGGUCGGCUAUUAUUAGAGGCAGGCAAGCCGUUCACAGUUGAACUAGACACAACUUAUUUAAAAAAUGUAGUCUAAUUUCUGUUUGCAGAUUACCCCCAAUGAAGUCAUGUUUUUAUGGGGUUAUUUAUGUUCUGUGUUCCAUGAGCUGUGCGUGCAAACAAACGUAACCAGUAACGGCCUCUUAAGAAAGUCACCCAGAGGGGUCACGUGCAGAGGGAUGGCCCGUCAGAGGGAGCUGCAGUCAUGUUCUAGCCUGGCUCACCGAACUGGCUCUGUGGGGGGUCAUAGGAGCUCACUGGCUGCUACAGGAGAGGAAAAAGAGGAAGAGAUGAGAACCAGAAGAAGAUCAAUGUCAGCUCCAGAUGGUGGUUUUCUGAAUGCAGCUAUUCAAGUAGUCCAAGCCACGCAUCGGUGCCAAAGGAAAUCACCAUUACCACAGAAUUGCCAAGUCAAUCAACCCCAAGUGAAGGAGCUUGACAAAUGUGACGUGAGAAAGAGGGAGAACGAGGGAAAGUGUGCUUGUCUUGAAGCAUGUGUUAAAGUAUUUCUUAUACUGGCAGCCGCUGUGUAAAUCAGCUGGGGGUGGCCUAUGCUCUCACUGACCACCCCCCAUGAGCUAAAGGUUGUCAGCCACUGCCCACUCUACAUCCUGGUUAAUUUGUUCUUGAGGCAGAAAUGCGGGGGAGACACAAAGAUGGUUUGAAACAGCCUGAGAAAUGCCAGAAAUUGGUAUGUGCCAGGCCCUCAAGAUACAGGAUCAGUGGGGUGGGUCUUGUUAGCAGAGGGGGCUCCCAUCAGCUCCCUGCCAGCAGUGAAGGCACCUGUAGCAAAUCAGCCUCCAGAAAGGAUCCAGGGAAAAGCCUUUGUUCUCCAUUGUGCAUGCCUGUGUGUAUGUGAGUGUGUGCUUGUGCAUGUGCCCAUGCAUGAAGUGACUUACCGUGGAAAGAGCCAAACCGAAGUCCCAGCCCAGGCAGGCCCACGGCUCAGCCCAAGAAACGCUGAAAGGUGCUGGCAGUGGGGCUUGCGUGGCCAUCUUUGGCACCCCAACCAGCCUAGCCCCAGUGAGAAGUGAGAGGACCUCGCACCCUUGCUCUGGCCCGCUCAGUCCCUGAGCUCCCUGCUGAAAAGACGAUGAGUGAGGGGACGCUAGCAGACACAUGAGCAUUUAUGAUACUGGCUGAUCCCCUGCCACAAUUGUACAGAGGCAUUAUGCCAAAAAGUUUUGAAUUAACUGAGGCUUUGUCAUAAAAUAUGAGUUACGACUUCUGGUUAAUUUGUUUUAACUUCUACCCUGCUCCCAGUGACCAUCCCAGUGGUCAUGGGCUAAGACAAGGGGCCAGGUAGCUGGGUAUCUGUCCCUCUUGCUUAUAAGCACCCUGUUCAUCCCAAAUUGCCUCAAGCCAUUGCAAGAUCAAAAUUAUUCAUUGGAAGACUUUGCCUUGAGGGAACUGCAAGCUCUAUUUCUUUAAUGAUUUUAAUGAUCAGAAUUGUGCCAGGUCAAGCUAUUUAACUGUGUAUUUAAUUAGUCAUCUGUAUGCAUGUAACUUAAAGGCGUUCAGCUGUGCUAUUUUAUAGGGAUUAACUAAGCGGGCAGUAAAUCACCUAUGCCAGCAAUAAAAGUAUUUAUAGCAGAACUUUUUUUUUUUUU
Molecule: long non-coding RNA, 1662 nt
Organism: Struthio camelus australis
Lineage: Eukaryota; Metazoa; Chordata; Aves; Struthioniformes; Struthionidae
Source: Ensembl